GACGAACGCUGGCGGCGUGCUUAACACAUGCAAGUCGAACGAAAAGAGGGAAAGAGCUUGCUCUUUCCGGAAUUGAGUGGCAAACGGGUGAGUAACACGUAAACAACCUGCCUUCAGGAUGGGGACAACAGACGGAAACGACUGCUAAUACCGAAUAAGUUCCAAGAGCCGCAUGGCCCAUGGAAGAAAAGGUGGCCUCUACCUGUAAGCUAUCGCCUGAAGAGGGGUUUGCGUCUGAUUAGCUGGUUGGAGGGGUAACGGCCCACCAAGGCGACGAUCAGUAGCCGGUCUGGGAGGAUGAACGGCCACACUGGAACUGGGACACGGGCCAGACUCCUACGGGAGGCAGCAGGGGGGAAUCUUCCGCAAUGGGCGAAAGCCUGAAGGAGCAACGCCGCGGGAGUGAUGACGGCCUUCGGGUUGUAAAACUCUGUGAUCCGGGACGAAAAGGCAGAGUGCGAAGAACAAACUGCAUUGACGGUACCGGAAAAGCAAGCCACGGCUAACUACGUG
RNAcentral lists this ribosomal RNA (513 nucleotides) under uncultured bacterium. Its description in RNAcentral is "partial 16S ribosomal RNA". It matches the Rfam family "Bacterial small subunit ribosomal RNA", at positions 28 to 507 of the family's 1533-position model. The record is from RNAcentral.